This is a long non-coding RNA of Bombus pascuorum, 1177 nucleotides long. RefSeq lists it as uncharacterized. The transcript is spliced from 3 exons. The record is from RefSeq and is a predicted model, not a curated record. Lineage: Eukaryota; Metazoa; Arthropoda; Insecta; Hymenoptera; Apidae.
ACCUUCCUUAAUUAAUAAAAGUUUGAUGCAGAAUUCAGUUUCGCAUCACGCAUUAUAAGAUUUUCAUUACUGAAAUAGAAUCUACUUCCUUUAGCAAAGUCGAGAGUUCUUCAACAAUCUACCUCUUUCAAGUUCACCAAAGAAUCAUAUGCACUUCAUAAAAACAUAUUUCGUUGGAUUGAGGCAUUAUAAAGUUCAGAAGUCUAUAGAAUAUACAAAACUAAAAUUAUGAGGUAUUUAAAUGAUUGGUGGGAAGCUGACCUAAUGUACGUAUAAAGUGGACAACACUCGAAUAGUCGUUGCAUACACAAUGCUUAUCUAUGAUUGUUCGUUUCCCUGCCUGUUCUUCAAUUGUUCAUUCCACGCGACCCCUCUCGGAAGCGUCAAAAUUUCGAAAGACGUUAUUGGCCUGGCAGAGACCACGUUGGCGCCGUUUUGUCGUACGUCAACGUCGUCCACGGAAGCGUGCAUGUGCAUAGUGAUGGCAUUGAUCCUCACCUCCGUACGGUGUCAACAGGCUACAAAAAAAGUGUGGACACUUUGUGAGUAUUUAACUACUUGCUGAUGCAUGAUAUGUAUUUUUAAACGGUUUGGUCAUAUCCAUCAAUUUCUAUUAUGGAGCAUUUAUAAAUUACGUUUAUAACAUGAAAAGAUAUUUUUUAUAUUCAUUAUGAUAAAAUAAUGAAUUAUAAAUAUUGCGAUUUGAUAUUGAAAAUGAUGAAUGGAUGAAGUGGAAUGGUAAAUUGUUUAAUUUAAAUUUAGAGAAAUAUUUCACAAGUUUAAUAAGAUGACAAAAUGAAUCACAAUAUUGUGUCUCGAAAUUAAAAAUGAGAAAUGAUAGAACUUUAAUGUUACAUUUGUUCCAAUAUUAUAUACAAAUAACAUAACUUUUAAUUUAAGUAGUUUUAAUAUAUUAUAAAACUAAUGUUACAUUUGUUCCAGUAUCAUAUACAUACAACAUAACUUUUUCUAAUAAUAAUAGCUUUAAUACGUGAUAAAAUAAAGUAAAACAUUCAUUAUUUCCAUACUUUCGCAUAACUUAAACCUAUUUUCCGUAAGUCUUGAAAAAGAACAUUUAUAAUGUUCAAUAAUAAUACACAAAUAAAAGUUGAACUCGUAAGGAAGUGAAAAUAGAACCGAUAUCUGUAUCAUACUUACUCUAAGUAAAUAACUAUUU